Molecule: RNA transcript, 1915 nt
Organism: Zingiber officinale
Lineage: Eukaryota; Viridiplantae; Streptophyta; Magnoliopsida; Zingiberales; Zingiberaceae
Gene name: cell division control protein 2 homolog D-like
Exons: 5
Source: RefSeq, a predicted model, not a curated record
UCUGUUUCGAAUUGGCACAAAGGUGCAAAUUUUUUUUUAACGAGUUUCACGGAUCGACAUCUUGUCCAUGUUUCUCUUGAAUCUAUUCCUCCCCAAAGCGCCUUUCUUCUUCCUCUUCUUGUAGAUAUAGAUUCAAACAGGGGCAAGAUGUUCAAUCAAAACCAGCUGCUUGAAUUUGAUCUGCUGUAAAUAUCUUCCUGAACGUCUAAUAAUGUUAAAUCAGAUUCAAUUUCAUGUUCAUAAUCUUUUUCAUGACCUAUCAAAUCUCAAUUUCUUGUUAAUUUCGCAAGGUUAAUUUUGAAAUUUCUGAAGCAUUCAUACAUGUGGCAUUUUCUCAUUAGAAAGAUCCAAACUUUCAUGAAGAAAUAAAUAGUCAUCAAAUAGCUAAAUUAACAAUUGUUGCUAGAUCCAAACGGUUUUUCAUUAAUUUUUAACACCCCUUGGUACGAAGCAAGAGACUCCAACUAAGUGGAGUUGGUCAAAGGAAGAGACUCUAUAUGGAUCCAACUAUGCUAGUAGAUUCAAUGUCUUCCUAUAGUAACGUGCAUAUUAAUAUCUUUCCGUUCUCGUAUAUUGAUCUAGGUGAAUGUAAGUCAUGUGAUUCAUGAUUUGUCUUUUGGACCAAAGUAUCCAGGGAUCCAUAAUCCUCUUAAUGGAAAUGCAAGGAUACUAGAUGAUACAAGUGGAACGUUCAAGUAUUAUAUAAAGCUGUUUUCUUCUUGUAUGAUCUGUCACCUAUUACGGUGACAAUAAGAGAAGAACGACAUAGUUUUCUUCAUUUCCUAACUCGGCUAUGUGCCGUGCUUGGUGGCACAUUUGCUUUAACAGUUAUAUCUAAGAGGUCAAGGAAUAUGCAGGCCAAGGUUCGAGGUGCUCUCUAGCCCACAUUUUGCACCUCCUUUGAGCUGGAGCAUUGUUUUUUUUUUGUAAGAAUUCAUGUUCCUUUUCAAUCUCAUGUUCAAUGAACCUUUCAAUAAAUUAGUGUUAAUGUAUUCGGAUCACAGAAUGUGAAUUCACAUCUAUUGAUUAUGUGGAAGUUUAAUUAUAAUCAUGCCUCCUCCAUGCUGCUUAGAUUAAUGAGGUUUAAGAAUGAAGGAAGAUUUAUGUGAAUUCACGGAUCUGAAAAAGUACAUCAUAAGUUUCCGCCAGAGCCAUGAAAUGAUGCCACCAAUGACUGUUAAGAUUUUGAUGUAUCAACUCUGCAAAGGAAUUUCAUUCUGUCAUGGUCAUGGAGUGUUGCACAGGGAUCUUAAGCCUCACAAUCUUUUAAUCGACCGUAAGACUAUGAUGCUAAAAGUUGCGGAUCUUGGACUCAGUCGUGCUUUCACCAUUCCCCUCAAGAAAUACACGCACGAGGUCACAUAUCUUUUAGCUUGUAUUGGAAAGCACAGCAUUUGAAAAUACCUAGCUUUCCAGUUUUCACGGCAAAAUUUGUUUGAAUGUAAGAUAUCUGAUAUGACAUUUUCCUUAAGUGUUUAGUCACUGCAGAACUUAUCUGAUAACCUAUGCUUGUGGUCUAAUUCUACAUUUCAUCUCUUAAAAACUAGUUUUUCUUUGAGUUUUCUACGUAUCUGAUCUCCCUUCUUUGUGUUCCACUACCUUUUUUCCAUAUCAGAAGCAUUCAAGUGUUUCCCCUUUAUCUUUUCCUUGCAGGUCGAUCUGAGUUCCUCUGUUAUUCUUGGAAUUUCUUAGAUCGAAUUGGAGCAUUGCUCAUGUUAGAACAUUUUUUUUUUAUCAGAUGGCAAUUCUUUGCUCUGCCAGUAACACUAGCGUGGUUGUUGCACUCUGUCUACUGCUCCUCAUCAAUCUGUACACUUGAAUUAGAAGGAGCAAAUUAUUUAUGUUAUAUUCUAAGCAGCAUAUACUAAGUGUCAUAUAUGAAAGUUUUAGAUUCUAUGUUAUAUUUGUUAUCUUC